This 513-nucleotide long non-coding RNA is filed under the name Arabidopsis lyrata. RNAcentral describes it as "long non-coding RNA (ALYR_LNC001208)". Lineage: Eukaryota; Viridiplantae; Streptophyta; Magnoliopsida; Brassicales; Brassicaceae. The record is from RNAcentral.
CAACCAAGGCUAUGUGCUGAGUUUCGAAAUCAUCUCUUCUACCAACUUCAACAUGGUUCCGGGUAUUCGCUCUCCUUCUUGAUCAAUCUCCCGCAUAAUUUGCUCAACAAUCUCAAUCUUUGACUGUUUGUUUUUGAUGACGUAGCCAGAGCAGUCCCUUAGUAGUAGCAAUAGCUCUCUAGCCAUUUCUUUAGCCCUCCGUGUCCCGUCUACGCUCACUUGAAGCAAUCCGGGCAUCACUCCUUCUCUCAGUAUCAUUCCUCGGUUUGUCUCUCUGUCGUUGUUGCAUACACCAAGUAAUAUUCCUACGGCGUGCUCUUUACACUGGGCUGACCCUUCUUCAAUGGCUUCCACCAGAACCCUAAUUGCUCCACCGAUGCUGGAAACAGAUUCUGGUGAAUGAGAAGUUAUGUUUUCAAGCAAAGCUACUGCCUUAUCAGCCAAUUCGGAAGAUUUCUCACAACAGUUGAUGACUUGAAGCAAAGCAUACGGUGCUCCAGAAGCUAUAACCAG